This 369-nucleotide ribosomal RNA is filed under the name uncultured bacterium. RNAcentral's name for it is "bacterial SSU rRNA". It matches the Rfam family "Bacterial small subunit ribosomal RNA", at positions 775 to 1157 of the family's 1533-position model. The record is from RNAcentral.
GGAUUAGAUACCCUGGUAGUCCACGCCGUAAACGAUGGAUACUAGCUGUUGGAGGUAUCGACCCCUCCAGUAGCGAAGCUAACGCGUUAAGUAUCCCGCCUGUGGAGUACGGUCGCAAGACUAAAACAUAAAGGAAUUGACGGGGACCCGCACAAGCGGUGGAUUGUGUUCUUUAAUUCGAUGAUAAACGACGAACCUUACCAGGGCUUGACAUCCCUUAAAUUUUGCCGAAAGGCGAGAGUGCUUUAUUGAAUAAGGUGACAGGUGAUGCAUGGCCGUCGUCAGCUCGUGUCGUGAGAUGUUUGGUUAAGUCCAUCAACGAGCGCAACCCUUGUGAAUAGUUGUACUUUUCUAUUCAGACUGCCCCGG